UACAGAGGGUGCAAGCGUUAAUCGGAAUUACUGGGCGUAAAGCGCACGUAGGUGGUUAUUUAAGUCGGAUGUGAAAUCCCUGGGCUUAACCUGGGCAUUGCAUACGAUACUGGGUAGCUAGAGUAUGGUAGAGGAAAGUGGAAUUUCCGGUGUAGCGGUGAAAUGCGUAGAUAUCGGAAGGAACACCAGUGGCGAAGGCGGCUUUCUGGACUAAUACUGACACUGAGGUGCGAAAGCGUGGGUAGCGAACAGG
Molecule: ribosomal RNA, 253 nt
Filed under: uncultured bacterium
Lineage: Bacteria
Description: partial 16S ribosomal RNA
Rfam family: Bacterial small subunit ribosomal RNA
Source: RNAcentral